RNAcentral lists this ribosomal RNA (484 nucleotides) under uncultured bacterium. Its description in RNAcentral is "partial 16S ribosomal RNA". It matches the Rfam family "Bacterial small subunit ribosomal RNA", at positions 30 to 507 of the family's 1533-position model. The record is from RNAcentral.
AUUGAACGCUGGCGGCAGGCCUAACACAUGCAAGUCGAGCGGAUGAAGGGAGCUUGCUCCUGGAUUCAGCGGCGGACGGGUGAGUAAUGCCUAGGAAUCUGCCUGGUAGUGGGGGAUAACGUCCGGAAACGGGCGCUAAUACCGCAUACGUCCUGAGGGAGAAAGUGGGGGAUCUUCGGACCUCACGCUCUCAGAUGAGCCUAGGUCGGAUUAGCUAGUUGGUGGGGUAAAGGCCUACCAAGGCGACGAUCCGUAACUGGUCUGAGAGGAUGAUCAGUCACACUGGAACUGAGACACGGUCCAGACUCCUACGGGAGGCAGCAGUGGGGAAUAUUGGACAAUGGGCGAAAGCCUGAUACAGCCAUGCCGCGUGUGUGAAGAAGGUCUUCGGAUUGUAAAGCACUUUAAGUUGGGAGGAAGGGCAGUAAGUUAAUACCUUGCUGUUUUGACGUUACCAACAGAAUAAGCACCGGCUAACUUCGUG